UACGGAGGGGGCUAGCGUUGUUCGGAAUUACUGGGCGUAAAGAGCUCGUAGGCGGUUCGUCGCGUCGGCUGUGAAAUCCCGAGGCUCAACCUCGGGUCUGCAGUCGAUACGGGCGGACUGGAGUUCGGCAGGGGAGACUGGAAUUCCUGGUGUAGCGGUGAAAUGCGCAGAUAUCAGGAGGAACACCGGUGGCGAAGGCGGGUCUCUGGGCCGAUACUGACGCUGAGGAGCGAAAGCGUGGGGAGCGAACAGG
Molecule: ribosomal RNA, 253 nt
Filed under: uncultured bacterium
Lineage: Bacteria
Description: partial 16S ribosomal RNA
Rfam family: Bacterial small subunit ribosomal RNA
Source: RNAcentral